UACGUAGGGUGCAAGCGUUGUCCGGAAUUAUUGGGCGUAAAGAGCUCGUAGGCGGUUUGUCGCGUCUGCUGUGAAAACCUAAGGCUCAACCUUGGGCUUGCAGUGGGUACGGGCAGACUAGAGUGCGGUAGGGGUGACUGGAAUUCCUGGUGUAGCGGUGGAAUGCGCAGAUAUCAGGAGGAACACCGAUGGCGAAGGCAGGUCACUGGGCCGCAACUGACGCUGAGGAGCGAAAGCAUGGGGGGCGAACAGG
RNAcentral lists this ribosomal RNA (253 nucleotides) under uncultured bacterium. Its description in RNAcentral is "partial 16S ribosomal RNA". It matches the Rfam family "Bacterial small subunit ribosomal RNA", at positions 524 to 776 of the family's 1533-position model. The record is from RNAcentral.